Molecule: ribosomal RNA, 540 nt
Filed under: Triticum aestivum (bread wheat)
Lineage: Eukaryota; Viridiplantae; Streptophyta; Magnoliopsida; Poales; Poaceae
Description: partial small subunit ribosomal RNA
Source: RNAcentral
AUGAUGAAACAGGGGACGGCGGCGGCGAGUGGGGCGUUUACCGGGGGAGGCGAUGUUCGUGCUGGCGCAGGCGAGAGGAAGAUCUCCAGCCUACCGGCGUACCUCGCCACGGCCGUGGAGGGCUGCCACAUCACGGGCGACAUCGUGCGGCGCUUCGCGGAGAUGGAGCUCUCGCCGCUGCUCCGUUGGCUGCUGGGCUUCAGAGGGUCCAGGGAGCGCCUCCUCACCGACGACCUCUUCAUCGCCAAGCUCGCCAUGGAGAUGGGCGUCAGCAUGAUCGCCAAGACCGCUGCCGAGUACGAGAAGAGACGGGAGAACUUCGUCAAAGAAAUUGACAUCGUCAUCGCUGAUGUGGGUGGGGUCGUCAUUCAAGGGAUGGACUUUUCCUUCAGGUUAUGGUCUUGUUUCUCUCAAGGAGAUGGUGAUAGCAAGGGGGGAGCGCAAGAUGUUGCUGAUGGAUUCAACAAUGCUUUUGGCAACGAUGAAGUUGAACUUGAUGACGGACUAGAGAAGAAAGUAUGUCAGAGAUAUGCAUGUUAG